This 1272-nucleotide ribosomal RNA is filed under the name Salinibacterium sp. PAMC 21357. RNAcentral describes it as "bacterial LSU rRNA". It matches the Rfam family "Bacterial large subunit ribosomal RNA", at positions 1678 to 2925 of the family's 2925-position model. The record is from RNAcentral. Lineage: Bacteria; Bacillati; Actinomycetota; Actinomycetes; Micrococcales; Microbacteriaceae.
AUACUAAGGAGAUCGAGAGAAUCGUGGUUAAGGAACUCGGCAAAAUGCCCCCGUAACUUCGGGAUAAGGGGGGCCUAAGGCGUGAACGGACUUGCUCCGGGAGCGCUGCAGGGCCGCAGAGACCAGUGGGAAGCGACUGUUUACUAAAAACACAGGUCCGUGCUAAGUCGCAAGACGAUGUAUACGGACUGACGCCUGCCCGGUGCUGGAAGGUUAAGAGGAACGGUUAGCCGUAAGGCGAAGCUGUGAAUUUAAGCCCCAGUAAACGGCGGUGGCUGAGACUGCCAAGGCAUCCUAAGGUAGCGAAAUUCCUUGUCGGGUAAGUUCCGACCUGCACGAAUGGCGUAACGACUUCCCAGCUGUCUCAACCGCGAACUCGGCGAAAUUGCACUACGAGUAAAGAUGCUCGUUACGCGCAGAAGGACGGAAAGACCCCGUGACCUUUACUAUAGCUUUGUAUUGGUGUUCGGUGUGGCCUGUGUAGGAUAGGUGGGAGACUGUGAAGCUUGGACGCUAGUUCAGGUGGAGUCAUUGUUGAAAUACCACUCUGGUCAUAUUGGAUAUCUAACUUCGAACCGUAAUCCGGUUCAGGGACAGUGCAUGGUGGGUAGUUUAACUGGGGCGGUUGCCUCCCAAAAAGUAACGGAGGCGCCCAAAGGUUCCCUCAACCUGGUUGGUAAUCAGGUGUCGAGUGUAAGUGCACAAGGGAGCUUGACUGUGAGACUGACAAGUCGAGCAGGGACGAAAGUCGGGACUAGUGAUCCGGCAGUGGCUUGUGGAAGCGCUGUCGCUCAACGGAUAAAAGGUACCUCGGGGAUAACAGGCUGAUCUUGCCCAAGAGUCCAUAUCGACGGCAUGGUUUGGCACCUCGAUGUCGGCUCGUCGCAUCCUGGGGCUGGAGUAGGUCCCAAGGGUUGGGCUGUUCGCCCAUUAAAGCGGUACGCGAGCUGGGUUUAGAACGUCGUGAGACAGUUCGGUCCCUAUCCUCUGCGCGCGCAGGAAAUUUGAGAAGAUCUAUCCCUAGUACGAGAGGACCGGGAUGGACGAACCUCUGGUGUGUCAGUUGUUCCGCCAGGAGCACCGCUGAUUAGCUACGUUCGGAAUGGAUAACCGCUGAAAGCAUCUAAGCGGGAAGCCAGCUUCAAGAUGAGAUUUCCAUGGCUUAGGCCGAGAGACUCGCAGCUAGACUACUGCGUUGAUAGGCUGGAUGUGGAAGCAGGGACUAACGACCUGUGGAGCUGACCAGUACUAAUAAGUCGAUAAAUUGAUAAC